This 868-nucleotide ribosomal RNA is filed under the name uncultured bacterium. Its description in RNAcentral is "bacterial SSU rRNA". It matches the Rfam family "Bacterial small subunit ribosomal RNA", at positions 1 to 858 of the family's 1533-position model. The record is from RNAcentral.
GGCUUAGAGUUUGAUCAUGGCUCAGGAUGAACGCUAGCUACAGGCUUAACACAUGCAAGUCGAGGGGCAGCGGGAUUGAAGCUUGCUUCAAUUGCCGGCGACCGGCGCACGGGUGAGUAACGCGUAUCCAACCUUCCGCUUACUCGGGGAUAGCCUUUCGAAAGAAAGAUUAAUACCCGAUUGUAUCUUAAGCACGCAUGAGAUUAAGAUUAAAGAUUUAUCGGUAAGCGAUGGGGAUGCGUUCCAUUAGGCAGUUGGCGGGGUAACGGCCCACCAAACCUACGAUGGAUAGGGGUUCUGAGAGGAAGGUCCCCCACAUUGGAACUGAGACACGGUCCAAACUCCUACGGGAGGCAGCAGUGAGGAAUAUUGGUCAAUGGGCGAGAGCCUGAACCAGCCAAGUAGCGUGAAGGAUGACGGCCCUACGGGUUGUAAACUUCUUUUGUGCGGGAAUAAAGGAGCCUACGUGUAGGCUUUUGCAUGUACCGUAACGAAUAAGCAUCGGCUAACUCCGUGCCAGCAGCCGCGGUAAUACGGAGGAUGCGAGCGUUAUCCGGAUUUAUUGGGUUUAAAGGGAGCGUAGACGGGUUUUUAAGUCAGCUGUGAAAGUUUGGGGCUCACCUUAAAAUUGCAGUUGAAACUGGAGACCUUGAGUACGGUUGAGGCAGGCGGAAUUCGUGGUGUAGCGGUGAAAUGCUUAGAUAUCACGAAGAAACUCCGAUUGCGAAGGCAGCCUGCUAAGCCGCCACUGACGUUGAGGCUCCGAAAGUGCGGGUAUCAAACAGGAUUAGAUACCCUGGUUAGUCCGCACGGUAAACGAUGGAUACUCUGCCUGUUGGCGAUAGACGGUCAGCGGGCUAGCGAAAGC